This 915-nucleotide ribosomal RNA is filed under the name Triticum aestivum (bread wheat). RNAcentral describes it as "partial small subunit ribosomal RNA". Lineage: Eukaryota; Viridiplantae; Streptophyta; Magnoliopsida; Poales; Poaceae. The record is from RNAcentral.
AUGGCGUCGAGGGCUGCGACGAUGGUGGCGCUGCUGCUCGCGGCGGUGGCGGCGACGUGCGCGCGGGCGCAGCUGCACGAGAAGUUCUACGGCGAGUCGUGCCCCAGCGUGGAGGACGUCGUGAGGAAGGAGAUGGUGAGGGCGCUGUCACUGGCGCCCAGCCUCGCCGGACCGCUCCUCCGGAUGCACUUCCACGACUGCUUCGUCAGGGGGUGCGACGGCUCGGUUCUGCUGGACUCGGCCAACAAGACGGCGGAGAAGGCCUGCCCCGACACCGUCUCCUGCGCCGACAUCCUCGCCCUCAUUGCCAGGGACGCAGUAUGGCUGAGCAAGGGUCCAUUCUGGACAGUUCCUCUCGGCCGCCGAGACGGCAGCGUGUCCAUUUCCAACGAGACCGACGCUCUGCCACCCCCGACCUCCAACUUCUCCGUGCUCACCCAGCUCUUCGCCGCCGUGAACCUCGACGCAAAGGACCUUGUCGUCUUGUCCGCCGGGCACACCAUCGGGACGUCACACUGCUUCUCCUUCUCCGACCGGCUCUACAACUUCACCGGCAUGGAGAACCCCAGCGACAUCGACCCCACGCUGGAGCCGCAGUACAUGAUGCGGCUAAAGAGCAAGUGUGUCAGCCUCAACGACAACACCACCCUCGUGGAGAUGGACCCCGGCAGCUUCAAGACCUUCGACACCGACUACUUCAAGCUGGUGAGCAAGCGGAGGGGCCUCUUCCACUCCGACGGCGCCCUCCUCACCGACCCCUUCACCCGCGCCUACGUCCAGCGCCAUGCCACCGGCGCCUUCAAGGACGAGUUCUUUGCUGACUUCGCCGCCUCCAUGAUCAAGAUGGGCAACGCCAACCCGCUCAUCGGAAGCCAGGGCGAGAUCAGGAAGAAGUGCAACGUGGUUAACCAUUAA